GGACUACCGGGGUUUCUAAUCCUGUUUGCUCCCCACGCUUUCGUGCCUCAGUGUCAGUUGUUGUCCAGAUAGCCGCCUUCGCCACUGAUGUUCCUUCCGAUAUCUACGCAUUUCACCGCUACACCGGAAAUUCCGCUAUCCUCUACAACACUCUAGCUACACAGUCUAACAUGCAAUCCCCAAGUUAAGCUCAGGACUUUCACAUGUUACUUACGUAACCACCUACGCACCCUUUACGCCCAGUAAUUCCGAUUAACGCUCGCACCCUCUGUAUUACCGCGGCGGCUGGCAC
RNAcentral lists this ribosomal RNA (292 nucleotides) under uncultured bacterium. Its description in RNAcentral is "partial 16S ribosomal RNA". The record is from RNAcentral. RNAcentral also lists the same sequence under 1 other name.